Molecule: ribosomal RNA, 429 nt
Filed under: Bacteroidota bacterium
Lineage: Bacteria; Pseudomonadati; Bacteroidota
Also listed under: 1 other name
Description: Bacteroidetes bacterium partial 16S ribosomal RNA
Rfam family: Bacterial small subunit ribosomal RNA
Source: RNAcentral
UAGGGAAUCUUCGGCAAUGGGGGGAACCCUGACCGAGCAACGCCGCGUGAGUGAAGAAGGUUUUCGGAUCGUAAAGCUCUGUUGUUAAGGAAGAACGAGUGUGAGAAUGGAAAGUUCAUGCUGUGACGGUACUUAACCAGAAAGGGACGGCUAACUACGUGCCAGCAGCCGCGGUAAUACGUAGGUCCCGAGCGUUGUCCGGAUUUAUUGGGCGUAAAGCGAGCGCAGGCGGUUAGAAAAGUCUGAAGUGAAAGGCAGUGGCUCAACCAUUGUAGGCUUUGGAAAGUGUUUAACUUGAGUGCAGAAGGGGAGAGUGGAAUUCCAUGUGUAGCGGUGAAAUGCGUAGAUAUAUGGAGGAACACCGGUGGCGAAAGCGGCUCUCUGGUCUGUAACUGACGCUGAGGCUCGAAAGCGUGGGGAGCGAACAGG